RNAcentral lists this ribosomal RNA (398 nucleotides) under Ventrifissuridae sp. RNAcentral's name for it is "partial small subunit ribosomal RNA". It matches the Rfam family "Eukaryotic small subunit ribosomal RNA", at positions 582 to 975 of the family's 1831-position model. Lineage: Eukaryota; Cercozoa; Thecofilosea; Ventricleftida; Ventrifissuridae. The record is from RNAcentral.
AUUCCAGCUCCAGUAGCGUAUGUUAAAGUUGUUGCAGUUAAAAAGCUCGUAGUUGGAUUUCUGGUACGCUGCGCCUGGCCCGCCCGCUUCGAGCGUGGUGUGUGCUGGAGCGCGGUUGCCAUCCUUCUAGAAAACGUUUCUACCCUUCGCUGGGCUGGAUUCGCAAUCUAGAUCUUUUACUUUGAAAAAAUUAGAGUGUUUAAAGCAGGCAUUUGCCAUGAAUACAUUAGCAUGGAAUAAUAAUAUAGGACUUUGGUUCUAUUUUGUUGGUUUCUAGGACUAAAGUAAUGAUUGAUAGGGAUAGUUGGGGGUGCUCGUAUUUAGCGGCCAGAGGUGAAAUUCUUGGAUUCGCUAAAGACGAACUUAUGCGAAAGCAUUCACCAAGGAUGUCUUCAUCG